RNAcentral lists this ribosomal RNA (300 nucleotides) under uncultured Sphingomonas sp. RNAcentral's name for it is "bacterial SSU rRNA". It matches the Rfam family "Bacterial small subunit ribosomal RNA", at positions 496 to 795 of the family's 1533-position model. The record is from RNAcentral. Lineage: Bacteria; Pseudomonadati; Pseudomonadota; Alphaproteobacteria; Sphingomonadales; Sphingomonadaceae.
GCCAGCCCCGGGCCUGCGGCCGGGUGAAUAGGGGGGGUGCGUGCGUUGAUCGGAAUUAGUGGGCGUAAGGCGUGCGUAGGCGGUUUGGUCAGUCAGCCGUGAAAGCCCUGGGCUCAACCUGGGAACGGCGGUUGAGACGGCCAGACUGGAGUGGGCUAGAGGAUCGUGGAAUUCCGGGUGUAGCGGUGAAAUGCGUAGAGAUCCGGAGGAACACCGAUGGCGAAGGCAGCUGUCUGGGGCCACACUGACGCUGAGGCACGAAAGCGUGGGGAGCAAACAGGAUUAGAUACCCUAGUAGUC